UGAACCGGUUGUUGAAAACUCAACAGAUGAAAGGUGGAAAUGGUUCAAGAAUUGCUUAGGGGCACUAGAUGGAACUCAUAUUAGAGUGAGAGUACCUAUGGCUGAUAAACCAAAAUAUCGUACUCGAAAAGGUGAAAUAGCUACAAAUGUCUUAGGUGUAUGCUCCCAAGACAUGCAAUUCAUAUAUGUGUUACCUGGAUGGGAAGGCUCUGCAGCAGAUGGUAGAGUUUUACGUGAUGCCAUACAUAGAACAAAUGGUUUGUGUGUUCCAAAUGGUCAUUAUUACCUUAUAGAUGGUGGAUAUACUAAUUGUAAGGGAUUUCUUGCUCCAUAUCGAGGCCAACGCUAUCACCUCAACCAAGGGGAAGAUGGGAAUCCUCCCAGAAAUCCACAAGAGUUUUUUUAAUAUGAAGCACUCAUCUGCUAGGAAUUUCAUUGAGAGAUGUUUUGGUGCAAUUAAGAAUCGAUGGGCAAUUCUUAGGAGUCCAUCAUUCUAUCCAAUAAAGACACAAAACCGAAUCAUUUUAGCAUGUUGUUUGCUUCACAAUUUUAUUAGGAGAGAAAUGCCUACUGAUAAUACUGAUAUGCAUCCAGAGAAUGAGAGUGA
Molecule: long non-coding RNA, 607 nt
Organism: Humulus lupulus (European hop)
Lineage: Eukaryota; Viridiplantae; Streptophyta; Magnoliopsida; Rosales; Cannabaceae
Exons: 3
Source: RefSeq, a predicted model, not a curated record